RNAcentral lists this ribosomal RNA (800 nucleotides) under Microbacterium sp. Its description in RNAcentral is "bacterial SSU rRNA". It matches the Rfam family "Bacterial small subunit ribosomal RNA", at positions 81 to 892 of the family's 1533-position model. The record is from RNAcentral. Lineage: Bacteria; Bacillati; Actinomycetota; Actinomycetes; Micrococcales; Microbacteriaceae.
UGCUGGGUGGAUCAGUGGCGAACGGGUGAGUAACACGUGAGCAACCUGCCCCUGACUCUGGGAUAAGCGCUGGAAACGGCGUCUAAUACUGGAUAUGUACCACGAUCGCAUGGUCUGUGGUUGGAAAGAUUUUUCGGUUGGGGAUGGGCUCGCGGCCUAUCAGCUUGUUGGUGAGGUAAUGGCUCACCAAGGCGUCGACGGGUAGCCGGCCUGAGAGGGUGACCGGCCACACUGGGACUGAGACACGGCCCAGACUCCUACGGGAGGCAGCAGUGGGGAAUAUUGCACAAUGGGCGCAAGCCUGAUGCAGCAACGCCGCGUGAGGGAUGACGGCCUUCGGGUUGUAAACCUCUUUUAGCAGGGAAGAAGCGAAAGUGACGGUACCUGCAGAAAAAGCGCCGGCUAACUACGUGCCAGCAGCCGCGGUAAUACGUAGGGCGCAAGCGUUAUCCGGAAUUAUUGGGCGUAAAGAGCUCGUAGGCGGUUUGUCGCGUCUGCUGUGAAAUCCGGAGGCUCAACCUCCGGCCUGCAGUGGGUACGGGCAGACUAGAGUGCGGUAGGGGAGAUUGGAAUUCCUGGUGUAGCGGUGGAAUGCGCAGAUAUCAGGAGGAACACCGAUGGCGAAGGCAGAUCUCUGGGCCGUAACUGACGCUGAGGAGCGAAAGGGUGGGGAGCAAACAGGCUUAGAUACCCUGGUAGUCCACCCCGUAAACGUUGGGAACUAGUUGUGGGGUCCAUUCCACGGAUUCCGUGACGCAGCUAACGCAUUAAGUUCCCCGCCUGGGGAGUACGGCCGCAAG